UACGUAGGGUGCAAGCGUUGUCCGGAAUUAUUGGGCGUAAAGAGCUCGUAGGCGGUGUGUCACGUCGUUCGUGAAAACCUGCAGCUUAACUGUGGGCGUGCGGUCGAUACGGGCAUCACUGGAGUUCGGCAGGGGAGACUGGAAUUCCUGGUGUAGCGGUGAAAUGCGCAGAUAUCAGGAGGAACACCGGUGGCGAAGGCGGGUCUCUGGGCCGAUACUGACGCUGAGGAGCGGAAGCGUGGGGAGCGAACAGG
Molecule: ribosomal RNA, 254 nt
Filed under: uncultured bacterium
Lineage: Bacteria
Description: partial 16S ribosomal RNA
Rfam family: Bacterial small subunit ribosomal RNA
Source: RNAcentral